AGCGAACGCUGGCGGCAGGCCUAACACAUGCAAGUCGAACGAACCUUUCGGGGUUAGUGGCGGACGGGUGAGUAACACGUGGGAACGUGCCUUUAGGUUCGGAAUAACUCAGGGAAACUUGUGCUAAUACCGAAUGUGCCCUUCGGGGGAAAGAUUAAUCGCCUUUAGAGCGGCCCGCGUCUGAUUAGCUAGUUGGUUGAGGUAAUGGCUCACCAAGGCGACGAUCAGUAGCUGGUCUGGGAGGAUGAUCAGCCACAUUGGGACUGAGACACGGCCCAAACUCCUACGGGAGGCAGCAGUGGGGAAUCUUGCGCAAUGGGCGAAAGCCUGACGCAGCCAUGCCGCGUGAAUGAUGAAGGUCUUAGGAUUGUAAAAUUCUUUCACCGGGGACGAUAAUGACGGUACCCGGAGAAGAAGCCCCGGCUAACUUCGUG
This 434-nucleotide ribosomal RNA is filed under the name uncultured bacterium. RNAcentral's name for it is "partial 16S ribosomal RNA". It matches the Rfam family "Bacterial small subunit ribosomal RNA", at positions 29 to 507 of the family's 1533-position model. The record is from RNAcentral.